This is a long non-coding RNA of Rhagoletis pomonella (apple maggot), 251 nucleotides long. RefSeq lists it as uncharacterized. Lineage: Eukaryota; Metazoa; Arthropoda; Insecta; Diptera; Tephritidae. The record is from RefSeq and is a predicted model, not a curated record. The transcript has 2 exons.
GACAACUCUCAAGCAAUGCCAAGUAUGCAUAACAGAGCCUUAAGAGUGUUCUCUUUUACCAGCUUGUGCAAGUUCGUUCUCUCUCUCUUUUUAAUUCGCUUCUCCAAACCGUUCGCUUCGCCAAAAUCAUUCGCUUCGCAAGUGAUAAUACCACCCCUGAUUAUAACAAUGGAAAAACCAACACAUGGCUACUCGGUGAUUCUGGUUACCCCUUGCAGCCAUACUUGAUGACGCCAUUCAGAAGCGCAGCC